This 1533-nucleotide ribosomal RNA is filed under the name metagenome. Its description in RNAcentral is "bacterial SSU rRNA". It matches the Rfam family "Bacterial small subunit ribosomal RNA". The record is from RNAcentral.
AGAGUUUGAUUCUGGCUCAGAACGAACGCUGGCAGCGUGGAUUAGGCAUGCAAGUCGAACGGAAAGCCCUGAGAUCAAUCUUCGGAAAGUGAUCGGGGCCGAUAGUGGCGGAAGGGUGAGUAACACGUGAGCAAUCUAUCCAUAAGUUGGGGAUAACUCCGCGAAAGUGGAGCUAAUACCGGAUGUGGUACGCCGACGAGUGUUGGCGCAACCAAAGGUGGGGACCCCUCGGGGCCUAUCGCUUAAGGAGGAGCUCGCGUCCCAUCAGCUUGUUGGUAGGGUAAUGGCCUACCAAGGCAUACGGGUAGCCGGCCUGAGAGGGUGUUCGGCCACACUGGGACUGAGACACUGCCCAGACUCCUACGGGAGGCUGCAGUCGAGGAUCAUUCGCAAUGCGCGAAAGCGUGACGAUGCGACGCUGCGUGGAGGAUGACAGCCUUCGGGUUGUAAACUCCUGUCAUGAGGGAAAAGCCGGCGGAGGGUAAAUAACCUUUCGCCCCGAUGGUACCUCAAGAGGAAGCCACGGCUAACUCUGUGCCAGCAGCCGCGGUAAUACAGAGGUGGCGAGCGUUGUUCGGAUUUACUGGGCGUAAAGGGUGCGUAGGUGGACUGGUGUGUCGGAUGUGAAAUCCUGGGGCUCAACCCCAGAACGGCAUUCGAAACUACCAGACUAGAGUACAGGAUGGGAGAGCGGAAUUCUUGGUGUAGCGGUGAAAUGCGUUGAUAUCAAGAAGAACACCGGUGGCGAAGGCGGCUCUCUGGAAUGUUACUGACACUGAGGCACGAAAGCUGGGGGAGCAAACAGGAUUAGAUACCCUGGUAGUCCCAGCUGUAAACGGUGUACACUUGGCGUAGGGGGAAUUGACCCCCUCUGUGCCGAAGCUAACGCGAUAAGUGUACCGCCUGGGGAGUACGGCCGCAAGGUUAAAACUCAAAGAAAUUGACGGGGGCCCGCACAAGCGGAGGAGCAUGUGGCUUAAUUCGAUGCAACGCGAAGAACCUUACCUGGACUUGACAUCGGAGAGGCUUGCCUCUAACAUGUGAAAGCAUGUGAACCAGACAGGUGCUGCAUGGCUGUCGUCAGUUCGUGCCGUGAGGUGUUGGGUUAAGUCCCGCAACGAACGCAACCCCUGUGUUUAGUUGCCAACCUUGAGCAAUCGAGGCGCACUCUAGACAGACUGACCGUACAAGCGGUAGGAAGGUGGGGAUGACGUCAAGUCAGUAUGGCCCUUACGUCCAGGGCUGCACACGUGCUACAAUGGUCGGUACAGAGGGAAGCAAGACCGCGAGGUGGAGCAAAUCUCAUAAAAACCGGCCUCAGUUCGGAUUGGAGUCUGCAACUCGACUCCAUGAAGUUGGAUUCGCUAGUAACGGCGCUUCAGCUACGGCGCCGUGAAUACGUUCCCGGGCCUUGUACACACCGCCCGUCACAUCAUGAAAGCCGUCUGCACCCAAAGUCGCUGAGCUAACCUUUUACUAGGAAGCAGGCGCCCAAGGUGUGGGAGGUGAUUGGGAUGAAGUCGGAACAAGGUA